RNAcentral lists this ribosomal RNA (456 nucleotides) under uncultured bacterium. RNAcentral's name for it is "bacterial SSU rRNA". It matches the Rfam family "Bacterial small subunit ribosomal RNA", at positions 339 to 792 of the family's 1533-position model. The record is from RNAcentral.
GUACGGGAGGCAGCAGUGGGGAAUUUUGCACAAUGCCCGAAAGGGUGAUGCAGCAACGCCGCGUGAGGGAUGAAGGCUCUCGGGUCGUAAACCUCUUUCGAUCGGGAAAAAUGGGCGGGUGAAGAGCCCGUUCUGAUGGUACCGGAUGAAGAAGCCCCGGCCAACUACGUGCCAGCAGCCGCGGUAAUACGUAGGGGGCGAGCGUUGUUCGGAAUUACUGGGCGUAAAGGGCGUGUAGGCGGUGCGAUAAGUCGGAUGUGAAAUCCCCGGGCUCAACCCGGGGCGGUCAUUCGAAACUGUCGCGCUAGAGGGUGGGAGAGGGAAGUGGAAUUCCCGGUGUAGCGGUGAAAUGCGUAGAUAUCGGGAAGAACACCGGUGGCGAAGGCGGCUUCCUGGCCCACAACUGACGCUGAGGCGCGAAAGCUAGGGGAGCAAACAGGAUUAGAUACCCGUGUA